RNAcentral lists this small nuclear RNA (191 nucleotides) under Carlito syrichta (Philippine tarsier). RNAcentral describes it as "U2 spliceosomal RNA (ENSTSYG00000031765.1)". It matches the Rfam family "U2 spliceosomal RNA". From Rfam's summary of the family: U2 is a small nuclear RNA (snRNA) component of the spliceosome (involved in pre-mRNA splicing). Complementary binding between U2 snRNA (in an area lying towards the 5' end but 3' to hairpin I) and the branchpoint sequence (BPS) of the intron results the bulging out of an unpaired adenosine, on the BPS, which initiates a nucleophilic attack at the intronic 5' splice site, thus starting the first of two transesterification reactions that mediate splicing. Lineage: Eukaryota; Metazoa; Chordata; Mammalia; Primates; Tarsiidae. The record is from Rfam by way of RNAcentral.
AUCUCUUCUCAGCCUUUUGGUUAAGAUCAAGUGUAGUAUCUGUUCCUAUCAGUUUAAUAUCUGAUAUAUCCUCUAUCCGAGGACAAUAUAUUAAAUGGAUUUGGGAGACAGGGAGAUUGAAUAGGAGCUUGCUCUAUACACUGUGCACAUCAACCUGCUAUUGCAGUACUUCCAGGAACGGUGCACCAAAA